RNAcentral lists this ribosomal RNA (301 nucleotides) under uncultured bacterium. RNAcentral's name for it is "partial 16S ribosomal RNA". It matches the Rfam family "Bacterial small subunit ribosomal RNA", at positions 509 to 807 of the family's 1533-position model. The record is from RNAcentral.
CAGCCGCCGCGGUAACACCGAGGGUGCGAGCGUUAAUCGGAUUUACUGGGCGUAAAGCGUGCGUAGGCGGCUUCUUAAGUCGGAUGUGAAAUCCCUGAGCUUAACUUAGGAAUUGCAUUCGAUACUGGGAAGCUAGAGUAUGGGAGAGGAUGGUAGAAUUCCAGGUGUAGCGGUGAAAUGCGUAGAGAUCUGGAGGAAUACCGAUGGCGAAGGCAGCCAUCUGGCCUAAUACUGACGCUGAGGUACGAAAGCAUGGGGAGCAAACAGGAUUAGAUACCCCUGUAGUCCCUGUCUCUUAUAC